RNAcentral lists this non-coding RNA (104 nucleotides) under unclassified sequences. Its description in RNAcentral is "DUF3577 RNA". It matches the Rfam family "DUF3577 RNA". The record is from RNAcentral.
CGUAUCGGACAGCGCGGGAGACCGCGUCAAACUCGCCUGUAAUCCCGGCAUCACCGCGCAAGUGGUGUGGCGACUUUUUCAACUGCUGCAACAGCAGCACCUCA